This 389-nucleotide long non-coding RNA is filed under the name Calidris pugnax (ruff). RNAcentral's name for it is "lncRNA (ENSCPUG00000003396.1)". Lineage: Eukaryota; Metazoa; Chordata; Aves; Charadriiformes; Scolopacidae. The record is from RNAcentral.
CAUUGGCUUUGGGCUCUAGCUUGUUUUCAGGAUAGAAGGGGUACUCCAGUCUAGUCUGAAUAGUCUUGCCUUCUUAUCCUGUUGAUUUUUUUUUUACAGAUCAUAUACAUCCACUUAAGAUCACUGUUCAGUUAAGCUGGGGAACUAAACUGGAAGAGGAUGGAUGCUGUAACGGGGUAUGAAGUUGACGAACAUGGGAUCACUCCUGUGAAUCACAGUCAUUGUCUUGAGAUCAUGUUUCUUCAGGACUUUCCAUCCCAUGUGUAACAGCAAAGACUUAAUUGCUUAAGCUCAAGCUAGAACUGGGAAAAUCUGUCUUUUGUUCUUGCACCAAGAAAACCAUCAGCAGUGUGCAGUUUGGGAAAAGGAGCCAUACACCAAACACACUG